Molecule: long non-coding RNA, 2639 nt
Organism: Anopheles stephensi (Asian malaria mosquito)
Lineage: Eukaryota; Metazoa; Arthropoda; Insecta; Diptera; Culicidae
Exons: 2
Source: RefSeq, a predicted model, not a curated record
GUUUUUGCAUUGAUUUCAUGAUUUUAAGGUUCAAGAAAUUCAAGACUUCAAGAGUACAGCAAAUCACAAAAAGAGAGAGAGUUAAUAUCUCCUACCAAGCACAUUCCCGAGCGAGAGAUGACGGGAGAAGAUUCUAGCAUAAAACGGUGGAGCAUAGAAUUUUUACGCUAUAAUUCCUCUCCCGCAAACACACACACACACACAUACGCGGACAUACUUUUGAAUGAUGUUCCAGCAACGCACACACACACCGAAACGCGUUUGAAUCAUAAAAGAAGCCCACACACACACACACAGGGGCAGUCGGACAAAAUCGCUCAAAGACUAUUCGUAGCAGCAGCAGCGCUCAUGUUCAUGCUCAGUUAAAUUGACGGUCGAAGUCAAGAGGGAAACGAAAAAAAAAACGACGGGCCACAACACCAAAAACUAAACCAAAUCAACAUCGGAACCCAUCAAGCGGCGCUUUUGCCCAAAACUCCACCGAGCAAGACAGCGCUGCGUGUAAUGAAAAUCCGAAGCAUUGGAAGGAGGGACGACUUCUACGGACACAAAAUUAGAUACAACUAACGUUCGCUUCAGCCGGCCACCCGGAAAUGCAUUUCGUUUCGAGUGUCUGCGUGUGUGUGUGCCCAGGGACAGUAGGAGGGUGUUAUAAUGAAGCGUGAUGAGGGCGGCCGAGAGGAAGGUGGAGGUGGUAAUUAAUUUGUCAUAAGCCCUCUGGACCCUCACCUCGGACCAGCGAAACGGUGCGAGUGAGGAUUUUAUGAUUAUUUUAUUUCUAACGUAACUUCUUUUUUUUUUAAAUGCAUUUUUUUCGUUCGAGAGGGAGAACCAGCAGGAAGCAGUGGACCAUUCCAUACACACACACACCCCGACUCGAAAGGUAUGCAAAGUUCACUUUCCGUUAUUAUCUAGGACGGGUCGAGAGUGCUUUAAAUAGAACGGAAGGCAUGCGAAGGCAAACGAGAAAUGGGAAAUAAAAAGCAUCUCGUACAGCCUUGGUACUGAUAAGGAUUACUUACGGCACUCUCUCUCACUCUCGCUCGGCUAUGGCAGUUUGGGAAGCGUUAAGGUAAAGGUAGUAAAGAAUACCUUAGAAUGUAACGUGAAGAAAUGCUUCGUUUACGAUUUUCAGCUGUUAAGAGCAAGGUUAUGAAGGAUAUGACUAUUUUUUUGGCCUAUAAUUAAAUAGAAAAGUCCAGAGAAGAUUACCUUUAGUGAUCAAAAGUCUUCAGGAAGUACAGAAAUUGAGGAUUAUUUCUCAAGUAACGUAAUCGAGGUACUCAUGGUUCCAGAUAUUGUGAAGAACGUUACUUGAUGGUGUUGUGGUAGACAUGUCAGGUCUUCUAACGAAAGAAUCCGGGUGUCAAAUCUCAUCUUCCGUAUGUAGUAGUCAAACUAUCCGACUUCCAGAGAAUAUUGUCGAGGACAACUCUCUUAAAGAAUAUUCUGAGCUUGCUAAUUUCGUUUACCAAUGAUGUGAAUAUGAAGGCAGGCGAUUUCACAAAAAUGUCUGGAAGGCCCAGUCAUUUAACUCUGGAACGUCUGACCAGGACUGUCUCCAUGGCUAAGUUGAGCCUCUAUGCGAAUGCUGGUCAGGCGCUAUAUCACUGGUGGGAUCUCCUUAGAGUUCUGUACCACAAACUCCAUCCACUAGCCGUGCAAUAGCCAUCACACACAAAUUCUUAACAACCAAAAGCACUAAUAAGAAUUUCUAAUCCAUUCAUCCUACUCUCUGGGCUAAGCACUAAUUUAGGACAAUUUUGCGCCCUAGUUCUACCUCCAUACCUUUCAGACUUCUUUGGAUAGAGGACUCAAUAACUUCACAGAGAACCUCAGAGAGAAUCCAAGAAGGUGUCCCGAAUUUACAGACCAACAUCUCCUGGGAUCUAUUAUUUCUAAUAACUGCUGAAUACGAGUAAGCGUCGAAUUCAGAGUAUUUGGAUAGGAGAAACUCUAAGGGCACGAUGCAUGUCUUCCUACCUCACUUCAGAAUAAUAAGACACCAAAACAGCUUCAAAAUAUUAAACAAGUCAAAAUUAUAAUUUAUAGUGUUUAAUUUACAAAACUUCUUAACGACGCCGCACAACAACGCCCCAUACACCACGCUAGGACAAAUUAACAAAUUACGAUUUUUAAUUGAGAAACGCACCAUCUGUUCUCCCUGCAACAUAUUUCACACCCUUGUUUUUUCGUGUUCGGCUGUUCGGUAGCAGUUAAAAUAUUCUUCCCAAUGUGGGCACCCCUCUCGCACGCAGCAUAAAACACAUAAAAGUAUUUCGCAAUCAAAUGCAGUACAAAAUAAAAUUUUUAAUUAAUGCAUUUUUUGGUUUGAUUAUUCAUCUACGACCACUCUGGAGAUAUUGCUUACUGAAGCGCUUAAGAGCAGCGUUCUUCGGUAGGUGUUCGAAAUCGAGACCGAGAAAUUCCACCGCGUACCCAAGUGUCUGGCUGGCGUGAGCGAAUGUGGAAAAACUGGGAGGGCGUGCGGGCAAGUACGAUGCCCUUCAGACAUUAAAAAAUCUUCCAUCAGCGCUCUAUCAGCUUUUUCUUCGCCGUCAACUAAUAUUACCCCUGGCGAUAAGCUGCGGCGGCGUGACAGAACGCGAAACAAAAAUCAUAUCCCCCGAACAAAAAAA